This is a long non-coding RNA of Branchiostoma floridae (Florida lancelet), 397 nucleotides long. RefSeq lists it as uncharacterized. Lineage: Eukaryota; Metazoa; Chordata; Leptocardii; Amphioxiformes; Branchiostomatidae. The record is from RefSeq and is a predicted model, not a curated record. The transcript has 3 exons.
UUGUGGGGAAGGGCGUUCUCACAGUUCCUGUAUGCCAGAAGGUGCCUGAUGCAUUAGUACAGGAAGAUGGCGAAGGUAUCUCGAGGGCGACGAUAACAAAGGAAAAAGAUCAGAAGGCUAACGAUGGGGACAACAAAGCUCGUCGCCCGCUCCCACCACUUCCAAGCCAAGACAUCAAUACAGGAGGAGAAAUCAAGGUCGAAAUUGCGUCGACUGACAGCAAUGAGGUCCCUAACACCAGCAACGCGAACGUGUACAACUAUCUGGACAGUGAUGACAUUAACAACCUACGGCAACAACCGGCUGAUACAGAGACGGACGACUCAGUCCCCCAAACUACGGACUCCAACAUUCCUGGUCUUCUGGACGACGGGACGUAUGUUCCUGGCGCCUUCCG